UCAAACUUGGUCAUUUAGAGGAAGUAAAAGUCGUAACAAGGUUUCCGUAGGUGAACCUGCGGAAGGAUCAUUAACAAAUCAUGUUUGCGCACGGGGGGACUCCUCCUGUGCGCAUAUCAGCCCGACCCGGGUAUCCGAAAGGCUAUUCGGGUCAAUCUUGAGGGGUGUGAGAGCGCCUCUUGGGACAUUUACGCUUGUAUUGUUUGACAGAGUAAACAUGACACCAAAAGAUACAACUUUUAACAAUGGAUCUCUUGGCUCUUGCAUCGAUGAAGAACGCAGC
This 283-nucleotide unclassified non-coding RNA is filed under the name uncultured fungus. RNAcentral's name for it is "partial contains small subunit ribosomal RNA, internal transcribed spacer 1, and 5.8S ribosomal RNA". The stretch from base 1 to 73 matches the Rfam family "Eukaryotic small subunit ribosomal RNA", at positions 1759 to 1831 of the family's 1831-position model. The record is from RNAcentral. Lineage: Eukaryota; Fungi.